UACGUAGGGUCCGAGCGUUGUCCGGAAUUACUGGGCGUAAAGAGCUCGUAGGCGGUUUGUCGCGUCGACUGUGAAAACCCGAGGCUUAACCUCGGGCCUGCAGUCGAUACGGGCAGACUAGAGUUCGGUAGGGGAGACUGGAAUUCCUGGUGUAGCGGUGAAAUGCGCAGAUAUCAGGAGGAACACCGGUGGCGAAGGCGGGUCUCUGGGCCGAUACUGACGCUGAGGAGCGAAAGCGUGGGGAGCGAACAGG
RNAcentral lists this ribosomal RNA (253 nucleotides) under uncultured bacterium. Its description in RNAcentral is "partial 16S ribosomal RNA". It matches the Rfam family "Bacterial small subunit ribosomal RNA", at positions 524 to 776 of the family's 1533-position model. The record is from RNAcentral.